AUGCAAGUCGAACGGGUAUAGCAAUAUAUCAGUGGCAAACGGGUGAGGAAUAUAUAGGAAUCUACCUAGCAGUAAGGAAUAACUUUGGGAAACCAAAGCUAAUGCCAUAUAUUACCGAUUUAUCGGGAAAGAUUUAUCGCUGUUAGAUGAGCCUGUAUCGGAUUAGCUAGUUGGUAGGGUAAUGGCCUACCAAGGCAAUGAUCCGUAGCUGGUCUGAGAGGAUGAUCAGCCACAUUGGGACUGCGACACGGCCCAAACUCC
This 261-nucleotide ribosomal RNA is filed under the name uncultured bacterium. RNAcentral describes it as "partial 16S ribosomal RNA". It matches the Rfam family "Bacterial small subunit ribosomal RNA", at positions 55 to 339 of the family's 1533-position model. The record is from RNAcentral.